RNAcentral lists this ribosomal RNA (252 nucleotides) under uncultured bacterium. RNAcentral describes it as "partial 16S ribosomal RNA". It matches the Rfam family "Bacterial small subunit ribosomal RNA", at positions 524 to 776 of the family's 1533-position model. The record is from RNAcentral.
UACGUAGGUGACCAGCGUUGUCCGGAUUUACUGGGCGUAAAGAGCGCGCAGGCGGUCGUUCAAGUCGAGUGUGAAAGCCCCCGGCUCAACUGGGGAGGGUCACUCGAUACUGAUCGACUUGAAGGCAGGAGAGGGAAGCGGAAUUCCCGGUGUAGUGGUGAAAUGCGUAGAUAUCGGGAGGAACACCAGUGGCGAAGGCGCUUCCUGGCCUGCAACUGACGCUGUGGCGCGAAAGCUAGGGGAGCAAACGGG